This 3491-nucleotide long non-coding RNA is filed under the name Sus scrofa (pig). RNAcentral describes it as "lncRNA (ENSSSCG00050010528.1)". Lineage: Eukaryota; Metazoa; Chordata; Mammalia; Artiodactyla; Suidae. The record is from RNAcentral.
AUUUCUUGGGCCGCUCCUGCGGCAUAGGGAGGUUCCCAGGCUAGGGGUUGAAUCGGAGCUGUAGCUACCAGCCUACGCCAGAGCCACAGCAACGCGGGAUCCGAGCCGCGUCUGCAACCUACACCACAGCUCAUGGCAAUGCCGGAUCCUUAACCCACUGAGCAAGGGCAGGGACUGAACCCGCAACCUCAUGGUUCCUAGUCGGAUUCGUUAACCACUGCAUUAUGAUGGGAACUCCCAAUAAAACUUUAAAAAAUGAAAGAAAAAAAAAAAAAAAACCCUAGCAGAUUGCUAUUCUUAAACAAGCUAUGCCAGUAUCCCUUUUCUUUGUCCCUUAAAAGGACCUAGGAAGGAAACAAAGUAAUAUCUGCAAAUCUUCUCCUUAAAGUACUUUUAUUUAUUUGCUCUUUUUUUUAGGUAUGAUUCCAAAUAAAUAAAUGAUUUGUGGAAAAGAAACUGGUCAUUCGAAUUUGAAAUAAGGCAGAAGAAAGGUAUGAUUGAAUGUCACUAAGAGCCUACAAUUUUUGCCCUGGAGAAACUAAAAAGGGGUCAGCACACCCCUUUUCCUUGCUGGUCACCUCAGUAAAUAUCAGACAAGACCCCUCAGUCAUCCAUAACCAUAUCCUUGGUUAUCCAUAACUGAUCCCUAAAUGGGCAAUAGUUGCUCAGACUGGUCAGAAAACUAAAGAGUUGCACCUUCAGCAGAUGGCAGGGAGCAGCAAGGGCAAUAACUGUCUGUUUGUUUUGGCAUCACCGCCAAUGCAAAGAAAUUUAGGGUGUGUGUUACCCUUUGUCCAGUUCCUGUCUCUUGGUACACUAGCAUUUCCAUCUCAAAAGAAUCCAAGUAUGAGCUAGUUCGAAAAGGGAAAGUGUGUCCCAUUUUGGCAGGCUAUGGGACAAAUCCCAGAGCCUUUUCUUCACAAAGCACUUGUUAAUAUUCUACUUAAUAUUCUACAGAACCCAUGGUAGAAAAUAGAUGAAAUAAAUGGUGGGAUUGCAGAGCCUUUAUGUUCAGUUCUCAAACUAGGUUCCAUGGAGCACUUGGGUUCCUACAGUGUCUCAGGGGCUGCUGGAGAGAGGGGAAGAGGGCCCUGGAAGGCAGAGAUCUGAGCCCUCAGACCCAAUUCAACCACGGCAGUUUCUUUUUUCAACCCAAGAACAUGUUUGGGGAAAAAGGGGAGGGAGUGGUUUAUUUAAAAUUAGAAAAUGUUGGAGUUCCCGUAAUGGUGCUGUGGAAACAAAUCCAACUAGGAACCAUGAGGUUGGGGGUUCGAUCCCUGGCCUUGCUCAGUGGGUAAGAAUCUUGCAUUGCUGUGAGCUGUGGUGUAGGUCACAGAUAUGGCUCAGAUUUGGCGUUGCAGUGGCUCUGGCAUAGGCCCGCAGCAACAGCUCUGAUUUGACCCCUAGCCUGGGAACCUCCAUAUGCCGUGGUGUGGCCCUAAAAAAGGAGAAAAGACAGGUAAGCAAGUAAGAAAAUAAAACAAAACAAAACAAAAUAAAAUUAGGAAAUGUUUGGAGUUCUGGUCAUGGCUCAGAAGGUUAAGAACCAGACUAGUAUCCAUGAGGAGGUGGGUUUAAUCCCUGGCCUUGCACAGUGGGUUAAAGAUCCAGCAUUACCAUGAGCUACAGUGCAGGUCACAGACAUGGCUUGGAUCUGGUGUUGCUGUGGCUGUGGGGUAGGCUGGCAGCUGCACCUCUGAUUCAACCCCUAGCCUGAGAACUUCCAUAUGCCACAGGUGUGCCCCUAAAAAAAGAAAAAUAAAGUCCUAGAAAAUAUUUGAGAACCACUGCUUGAAGUAAGCACCAUACAUAUUAUUUCUCAGAACUGAGAUUCCAAUAAGAAUUGAAAAACUAACAGUUUUAGUUAUAUUCUUAGCAAGAACCCAGGGGGCAGAAAUUUAAUUUUUUUUUAAAUCAAAAGCAGAGCCAUGGCAAAACCUAUGAUAAAUGAAGAAAAUAUUUGCAGCUAUGCAAUUAAUAAAGAGUUAAUAUGCUUAGGUGGUGAAAUGAUCCUACAAAUUAAUAAGGAAAAGGCCAAUAACCCAGUAGAAACAUGGGCCAAGGCUAUAGAAUUCACAGAAGCAGAAAUGCAAAUAUUCAAUAAACAUAUGAAAAGAGGCUCAGGCUCACUUGUCAGGGAAAUGCAAAUGAGAACAAUGAGAUACUAUUUUUUACCCAUCAGAUUGGCAAAAAUGGAAAAUAUGUGUAACAUCCAGAGCUGGUGAGGGUGUGUAAGGAAUCUAGUUCUCUCAAACGCCAUCGGGGGAGGACUGUAAAUUAUUAUAAAGUGGUGGAAAAUCAACUGUUGGUAUUUUUGAAAAUUUAAACUGUAGCCCGGCACUUCCACUUCUGGGAAUAUAUCCACCAGAAAUGAAAAUGCCAGUGUAUAAAGACAUAAAUACAUGAAGAAGUGUAUUGCAGGAUCGUUUGUAAUAGUUAAAAAAAAAAACCUGGAAGCAAUCUGAAUGUACAUUAAUAGAAAAAUGGCUGAACAAAUCAUGAUGUAUUUAAAUUAAGGAACACAGCACAGAUAUUAAAAAUUAUAAAAUAAAACUAAUGAAAGCAAGUGUGAUCCUAUUUUUAUUAAAAAAAAUAAAAAUAGGGGAGUUCCCAUCAUGGCGCAGAGGAAACGAAUCCGACUAGGAACCAUGAGGGAGCUGUACUGGAGUGGUGAGACUAUUAAUUUUAUUUAGACACUGCUUUACGAUUUAAAAUGUUACAAAAGAUAUGUAUUACUUUUGUAAUUCAAAUGAUCAGAAUUUUUAAAAACAGAAUUAGGACAGGAAAUUCAAAGCAAAUCAAAUUACUUUGACGAUCACUGGAAGGCAGAGUGAGGCUGGCCUCCUGGUAUAGGAUCUUAAAGCAAUGAACCCACGGGGAUAUAGAGCUAAUAGAGGGCAGCCCAGCUAUGCAUCAGGUGGGUAGAAGGACAGCCUUUUAACAGGGCUGACAUUUUCCUUGAAAAACAGUCCUUACUCCUCUCUAAUCUUUGCAGAAGGAUUGAAUGAGGCCCCAAUGUGAUCCGCUAUAGCACAGGAGUCAGCAAUUUUUUUACAGCAUGUAAAUGAAAUGGGCAUAGCUGUGUCUCAAUAAAACUUUAUUUAUAUAAUAGGUAAUGGGUGAAUUUGACUCAGGGGUUAGAAUUUACUGAGCUCUGCUGUAGAACAUGGGCAAGAUUAUUUUUUAAAAGCAAGUUUUUCAUAUGAUAAUAUUUAACACGCACAUGAUAAGAAACACACCAAUGUGACGAAUUUUUACAAAGUGAACACAUCUCUAUAACUACCACCCAGAUUAGGAUGCAGAACAUUACCGUCACUCCAAAAGUCUCCCCUGUGCCCCUCCCAGUUAUCACCAUCCCCCACCACCAAAGACCCAAAGAUAGCCACCAAGUUUACUUCUACCUUAUAAUUUGUUUCACUUGGUUGUAAACUUUACGUAAAUGGAAUCAUACACCAUUAUCUUUCACUCAGGGAAUUAUGAGUGAGAUCCCU